Molecule: ribosomal RNA, 301 nt
Filed under: uncultured bacterium
Lineage: Bacteria
Description: partial 16S ribosomal RNA
Rfam family: Bacterial small subunit ribosomal RNA
Source: RNAcentral
CAGCCGCCGCGGGAAUACGAAGGGUGCAAGCGUUACUCGGAAUUACUGGGCGUAAAGCGUGCGUAGGCGGUUGGUUAAGUCUGCUGUGAAAGCCCUGGGCUCAACCUGGGAACUGCAGUGGAAACUGGCCAGCUAGAGUGUGUCAGAGGAUGGUGGAAUUCCCGGUGUAGCGGUGAAAUGCGUAGAGAUCGGGAGGAACACCAGUGGCGAAGGCGGCCAUCUGGGACAACACUGACGCUGAGACGCGAAAGCUAGGGGAGCGAACGGGAUUAGAUACCCGUGUAGUCCCUGUCUCUUAUAC